CUCUUGCCCAUGAAACGUAGUUUAUUGUUCGAAAGUCAUAAGUCUUGCCUUUAUAAUGUGAUAGUGUCAACUCUUGCUCACGAGAUGUAACUUGAAUGGAAGAAAUCAAAGAAAAGAACAAAAAUAACAAAAUUUCGAAAAAAGAAGAAAAAUAUUUAAAAAAUAAAAUCAAAGAAAAUGUAGAAGUUGAGAGAGAAUAGGAAAAAAAAUAAAGGUUGAUAAAAAUAAAAAAAGAUUAAAUAAAAAUAU
This 249-nucleotide long non-coding RNA is filed under the name Capsicum annuum. RNAcentral's name for it is "long non-coding RNA (CANN_LNC021852)". The record is from RNAcentral. Lineage: Eukaryota; Viridiplantae; Streptophyta; Magnoliopsida; Solanales; Solanaceae.